This 6735-nucleotide long non-coding RNA is filed under the name Gossypium barbadense (sea-island cotton). Its description in RNAcentral is "long non-coding RNA (GBAR_LNC014672)". The record is from RNAcentral. Lineage: Eukaryota; Viridiplantae; Streptophyta; Magnoliopsida; Malvales; Malvaceae.
UUUCAACUAAAAAACAAGCCUCUCUCCCUCCCUCAAAGUUUCCAGCAGCCAAACAUGGCCACGCCGGCGAGCGGCCGUUCUGAGGCCGGGGCUCCGUCAUGGGCGGUGGUCGGAGCAAGAAAAGAGGGGUUUUGAACCCCGUUCUCGACCUCCACCUUAAGGCCCGAUCCUCCAGACGCAACGAGCCAAAAAAGGAGAGACCUUUCAUCCAUUUCUCGGUCCGAUUCCAGCACCGAAGACGGUCUCCGGGGACAGACUUUCGAGACCGGUAAGAAUCCUUUCUCUCUUUUGUUUCGUUUAAAAAGUUAUAGAAAAUAAAUAAAAAAGGAAGAAAAUAAACAAAAAAGAAACGCAAGAACAGAAAAGAAAAUAGACUGAGAUCAACCUUUUUUGCUUUUUGAUCUUCUUGUUAUUAAUUCGUUGUAUUUUUGUGAAAAUGUUACAAAAGAAAAAGAAAAGACCCGAUUACCGUGAUGAAGCCCCCCUGCUUUCGGUUUACAAAUUGAUUUUUAUACCCAAAAGAAAAGAAAAUAAAAAAUCAAUCUUUGCUGUUGUCCUUUAGGUCUUUGCUUGUUUCUCUCUGUUUGGCCUCUGUUUUUGCAGGAGUAGGUGCGGCGUCAGAGGCAGGAGCGUACGGCACACAUGGCCCUGGCAUGCGGCGCUGGAGAAGGCAGGGAACCCUAGGGUUCCCUGAUUUUUAAUUUUUGGGCCCAAUUGGGCCAAUUUAGUUUUUUGGGCCUACUGUUUUUGGGUUAAUGGGCCCGGGCAAAUUUGGGCCUAUACAGUCAUAAUUCUGACAUAUGGCCCAAAUAGAUAGUUUGCACUCCCAGUCCCCUCUCUUGGUAUCAUAAGUAUCUUUUAAACAACUCUAAAGCUGCUUAAUUUUAAACUUUCUUUGUAUUCUUUUAAUUGAAAACAUUUCAAAUAUAUAUUAUCCAAUAAGUUAUAAAAGUUUCCGGUUGUCCUCUACUUUUUAGUAUAAUGUCACCAGUAAACAUUAAAUGAUUAAAGCUGUAUGCAAAACUACAGGGCAAUUUUUGUGCUCUUUUUGGACUGGGUUUCGGUGAACUGGGCUUCAAGAGGGCUGAAAAUGAUGGGCCUGCAAAAUAGAGAAAGAUUAGCCAUGGUGGCUGUUGAGACUUUAACUAUCCAGUCCACAUUGUUUGAGACAAUACUUGGGAUAGCUUGUUUCAUUCCUUAUUCGAUUUGGGACUGUAUAUUGGAACAAUUAAAGUGCAAUAAGUUUGUUAGUAUUUUUUAUUUGAUUUAUCUUGGUUAGUUUUCUAUCAAGAAAUGAUUCUUGAUUUGAAGUUACAAUUAUUUUUCUCUUGAUUUAAUUUCGAAUGAAAGAAAUAGAAGAGAGGUUGAUUAAAUGCAAAUGUUAUUCUUAUUUAUUAAGGCUUAAAUCAAUUUAUUUUCCUUGGAGAUAAAGUUGAUCAGAUUUACAAACAUUUUCGAAAAUUAAAUGGGAAGAUUUUGUGGAUUAUUAUUUUAGAUUAAUAUGCUGAAUUAUCUCAUCAAAAUUACUUGGAGAAAUUAUUGAUUUUUAACAUACAAAUAGGUUGCAUUACAGCACAUACGUGGGUGAAUUUUGAAUGCUUUUGUUGAUUGUUUUAUUGAUAUUUUGCUUUGUAUUUUUGUGCUCUUGUGCUAGUAUUUAUUGGAGAGUAAACCUUGAUGUAAUUGAGGUUGUUUGAGGUGAAUGAUUGUAAAAAUUUGGUUCAUUGUUUGGGUUGCAAUUAUCAUUGUUCUAAAGAUAGAUUGGGUUUUGGCCAAUAAGUAAUUUAGAAAAUUAUUGAAUAAAAUCAUUUACUAAGUGAGGCUUUGUAGAAUAAGAUUGGUGUUAAAAUAGCAAGAGAUGCGAAGGGCGUUAAGAUGUAGGUACAGUAGGUUGCUUCUUACAAGGAAUCCCAAGUACGAGUUUAGUGUUCAUGUGGGGAAUCAUAACUUAAGUUCUAUGUUUAGGCCUCAUUUUGGUUGGGGGAGACAAAGACUUCACUUGUCGUUAUUCUUGUUAGAAGCAGGGUUCACUUGCCGCUUCACCAAUUUGUCAUGGACUUGUUGAAUUCCUAUUGUUUGGCACUCGAGCAAUUGGUUAGGGGUUUAUGGUGGUUAAUAAUUGGAUUUAUGAUCAAAUGUAGGUAGAAAGGGAUAUGGCCUUUUGUGUUGUUGUUCCUGUAACACCCCAAACACGGCCUAAACGUGAUGGCCGAAUUCGGAGUUGUCACAAGGUAAGGUUUUGAAACUAGGGUUGUUUCGUCAAAUAAUUCAAGAUUCAUAGUUCGUAUUCAUUUAUAACCAUUUUCGAAAGUGUUAUUUAAUUCAUUUAUUUACCAAAACAUAAUUUACAGUGGAAGUCUUAAAACCGUUAUAUUUUAGAAAUCCAGUUCGUGUUUUUAGAAAAACCUUUGUUUUCGUAAAAUCGUGUUUUCCAUCAUGCAUUGCAAUGAAAGAGUCAAAAACUGCAUCCAAAACCGAAAUAAAAACCAACAGUCCAGAGAGCCCCCAAAAUUACAAACUCUUAAAUAAAACCAAAAUUAUAAGUAAAAAUGUAAUUUACUAAGUAAGAUAGUUCUCGAUCAGGUGGUCACCGCUGAGCCUCCGUCGCAACGACCUGUCUAAGUCUGUGGAUUACCUGAACAGUACAGACAAACAGACGUGAGUUUUCGUAAACUCAGUGUGUAACCCAACAGAAAUAGACAUGCAAUACAUACAAUAAACUCAUACACAGUCAGAUACAGAUUCAGAUUCAGACCUAAGCCCUUUACAGAUUCAAAUAACAGAACAAAUAUGCAGAUAAAAAAUACAGAAUCCUAUCCCCAUCCUUUACACACCAACUCCGACCAUCCCAUCACACCAUGUGGGGUUAAAAACACCCACCCAUCCCUACACACCACAUCGUGCCAUUACGACACAUGUCAGAUAAUGUCCAGCCAAGCUGCCAGAAUAUAGACGAUGAUAGCCAUACAGAACACUUCCUCCACAUAUACAAAUCCCACCGCAAUCAGAUAUAUAUAAUCAGAGUUAUCAUGCUCACAUGCUCAUAUAUAGAUAUCAGAUAUAUAUAGUUAGACUAAUCAGACAUGCAUAACAGUAUCAUAUUUAGAACAAAAUAUUAGACUAACAGAUCACAUAGUUUUAGGGUUUGGUUAGCCAUUACCGACCCUACAGUAGGCCCACAGUAGGUCGGAAUGACCCGUGCGACCCUAGGGAAAAUUUUAAAAUUUUGGGCCCACAUGCUUGUGUGGGCCCAACGACCGUGUAGCCCAUACUCCCAAAUUGGCCUUGCCCGUGUAGUUGACACGGUCUGGCCCAAACCACACGUCUGUGUGGCAUGCUCGUGUGGGCUCACACAUCGAACUUGGCCUAGCCCAUAUGGCCCACACAGCCACACCUACAUCGUCACAUAGCUAUGUCUAGCACAUGGCCAUGCCCUCGUCAAACACACGGCCGUGUCUCGCACACGGCCAACCACACGGCCAGGCACACGCCUGUGUGGCGUCGACAGUAAGGUUUUUUAGCUUUCACCGAAGCUCUAUUUUCUACGUUCCAGGUACACACCUGACACGAUUUCGAUGCAAAAACACCCCCGAAACCACCAGAACCUAGAAUCGACAAAUCAACUCACAAAAUCAGUCUUAAUUCAAGAUUAUUUUGAACCAUAAAACUGAAAAUAGUUCAAUUCACAUAAUCAUUACUUACCCCAACACCCCGAACGAUUUCACUACGAUGCCGCAAAAGGAGAGCCCCGUUCUUCGCGAUUCGUUGUUGCCAAAACCCAUAAAUUAAACUAAUAAAAAUAAAACAUCUUUAGAACGGCACUAAAAGAAAACCCCCUAUUAAAUCGAGCAAAACCUUACCACCACUUGCCGCAAUGCAUGAAAACAAUGAGCUAAGAGCACUGAAAUUAACAGGAAGACGAAAACAGGAAGAACAAGAAAAGAGAAUUCGACAGAAAAAUGGAGAAACAGAAAUUAAAGUCAAAUUUUUGGAAGAAUGGAAAAAAUUAAUUAAAAUUUGGAAAAGAAAAAUAAAAAGAUAGCAAAAGCUACCCAACCUACUAGAUCCUUUACAUAAAAAUAAGGGUAAAAAGAAAUUUUAUCCAUCUCUGAUUGUACACCCAAUGGGUUAUUUAAUCCAUAUUGAUGCAAUGCGGCCAGAUGAAGAAGACUGGCGCCUACAAAAUAAAGGGGAGUAAAUGAUAAAGACUAAAAAAAUGAUUUAAGGUGGCAUUGUCCACGGAGAAACCACCCCAAAGCCAAGUCACUAUGGUAUCCCCUACUACAGGUAUCCCCUUACCACUUGAACCAGCAGGCUCAUUCUAAUAUGGAUUAACAAACAAUUUUAUGUAAACCCACUCCUCAAAGGUAAGGCUUGAAUUAGAAAAAUAACAAAAUUGGCAAAAGGGAGACUUGAACCCAAGACAUCACACACACACCCAAAACACCUAACCACUGAAGUAGAUACAUAGUUAUGUUAGAAUUUACAGAUACAAAAAUAAAUUUAUCAGGGCGUUACAAUUCCAGUAUAUAUACACCCUUCAAGAAAAUGAAGAGUAUGAGGAGGUAUACUUCGUAGUUCGAAGAGAGGGGGUUGAACAACUCAUUUAUAGAGGAGUGGGGAGUUUGAACCCAAAUCCCAAGAAGUACAUUUUGGUAUAGUUAAAGUUUGGGAAUUCUUUCCGGUUUCCUACUAAAUGGAGAAGACCUAUGCCCCAUCGUUUUCUUCAUCAUCCUUGGUGGGAGGAUGUUCUUAAUGGGGAGAAUAUUUAUAACCUUUUGAAUCAUAAUGUCUUCUUAGUUAUCCCUCAUGACAUUUCCCUUCGUGGGAAGUUUCGCUAUUAUCUUCGCGACAAGAGGGCUAUGAGGAACACCCUUCCAAAUUUGAUAGAGCUUUGAGGGAUGUUGGGCUAUAGAUACAGCACGAGAACUCCAAGCCGUAUAACUUGAGACAUGCUAUUUCCAAAUAUCUUUGAGGUUAUUUUUUGGAGCCCUUAAAUUUUUUUCAAAUUAUGUGGGUUUCUGAACUGUAAGUGGCAAUUUCCUCUCGUGUCUCCACACAGGGUGCCUAUUUGAGACCAAACUUGAAGUAGUGACCACCUCUAAAUGUGCGAGCAUUUAGAGUAAAAAUAGUGCAAAUAAAAUAUUGAAUGAAAUGCGAUAUCUGCAAGUAAACAUGUCAAAUUGUAAUAUAGCUUUGUGUUACAAUAGAACACUGGUAAGCAUUCUGAGGAUUAUACCUAAGGGAGGUUGAAUUAAAUCUAAAAAUGUCUUCUACAAUAGCAGGUCUAAACAAUAGUCACUAAAAAUUAUAUUUACAAUAAUUAAGAAUAAAUAUUAAAGUCAUAAAAUAAAAACAAAACUACUAAAAUGAAGUUGACAAAUAAAACAACUCUUGAAUAACAAGCAGAAGAUUAACUCACUUUGCAAUUAACUUCAGAAUUUGGGUUUUAUUAGUGAAUUAGUUAUUAACUAACUAGUAUUACCUCUCGGCCUCUACUAAUUAAUUAAUUGACCAAUACUCACUAAUCUCUCAACCUCACUUUUGUGAUCGGGAUAAAUCACGAUUUACUCGGAAAACUUAUCUCUCGACCUAAUUAAACCUAGAUUACUUCCUAGGGUCAUCAAUCCUAUGGUUUAAGCACAUAUAAAUUUACACCAACUAAUUCGUAUGGGAAACCCUCAUUCUUUCGUUAACCACCUCACAUCAGCUCGUUAAUCUCUCUAAAGAACUUAGUCAUUCAUCGAUUCAAUAACCAUCUUCUUUAAAAUUAAAUUAAUCAUGCAAGAACACAAUAAAUUAAAAGAGAGGAAGAUAGAAAUUGGUCCGUUUGAGAAUCUUGAUGUGCUCAGAUUUGCAAAAUCCUUUAACAAUUAUCGUGAUAUCAUCAUUUGCAAGAGAAACGUAAAGGAAAAUUAUGAAAAUACUAAAUAAUGAAGACUUGGAGUCAAAUCAAAUCCAAGUCGAAGAACAAGAAAUAAAAUUGUUUUUAAAAUAAAAUAGAACUAAUUUAAAAUCCUAAACUAUUAAACUAAAACCUUAAAACGACUUGGCAAAAACUCUUCAAGCUUAACCUUGCUUAACUAUUUAUAGGCAAAGUUAGUAGCCUAAUUUAGGUCAAAAAGCCUUAACCACACUAAAUAUGGAUUGUGCGGAUCGAAAUACCCUUAAUUAACUUUUGCCUUCCAUCAAACCUAUGUCGCGACACACAACUUCAAAUGUAAAAUCUUGAAUUGGCUUGGUUGUGUUGCGACACCGGAAGCUUGUGUUGCGACUCGAUUGUUGUUCCUAAUGCCUUAGGGCCUAAAAUUAGAUGUCCUGCACACUCAAUGAAAAGAUUAAAACUACCUUAAGGCCUGUAUUGGCCCAAUAGGUCAACUAACUCCAAAUAUUGCGUAAAAAUAUUUAUUUUGCAAUAAUUUGAAUCUAAGCUAAGAAAAUUGAAAAUGCAAUAAAAAAAUACUAAAAUGACAAGAAAACAAGCUUGUUAAGUGCCGAAAAAUACCUAAACUGUAACAUCCCAAAAUAGGGUCUAAACGAAAUAGUGGUUGCAAAACCACAAAUCUAAAAUAGAAAAUUUUAUUACGAUGAAUUAUCAUGAUUUACCGAUUGAUUGGAUGCAUGUGUUAGACUACCGAUAAGAAUUUUAUAGAUUGCAUGUUUAAUUUGUCUAUUAGGGCUUAUUUGCAAAAGUUGCAAAAUAUGUGUUCUAGUUCAUAAAGUACUUAAUUGAAA